AUUGAACGCUGGCGGCAUGCCUAACACAUGCAAGUCGAACGGCAGCACGGCAGUAGCAAUACUGUGGGUGGCGAGUGGCGGACGGGUGAGGAAUACGUCGGAAUCUGCCCAAUCGUGGGGGAUAACUAACCGAAAGGUUAGCUAAUACCGCAUACGACCGAGAGGUGAAAGCGGGGGACCGCAAGGCCUCGCGCGAUUGGAUGAGCCGACGUCGGAUUAGCUUGUUGGUGGGGUAAAGGCCUACCAAGGCAACGAUCCGUAGCUGGUCUGAGAGGAUGAUCAGCCACACUGGAACUGAGACACGGUCCAGACUCCUACGGGAGGCAGCAGUGGGGAAUAUUGGACAAUGGGCGGAAGCCUGAUCCAGCAAUGCCGCGUGUGUG
Molecule: ribosomal RNA, 383 nt
Filed under: uncultured bacterium
Lineage: Bacteria
Description: bacterial SSU rRNA
Rfam family: Bacterial small subunit ribosomal RNA
Source: RNAcentral